UACGUAGGGGGCAAGCGUUGUCCGGAAUCAUUGGGCGUAAAGCGCGUGUAGGCGGCUUGGUAAGUCCGCUCUGAAAGCCCGGGGCUCAACCCCGGGAGGCGGGUGGAUACUGUCAAGCUCGAGUCCGGAAGAGGCGAGUGGAAUUCCUGGUGUAGCGGCGAAAUGCGCAGAUAUCAGGAGGAACACCAAUGGCGAAGGCAGCUCGCUGGGACGUGACUGACGCUGAGACGCGAAAGCGUGGGGAGCAAACAGG
Molecule: ribosomal RNA, 253 nt
Filed under: uncultured bacterium
Lineage: Bacteria
Description: partial 16S ribosomal RNA
Rfam family: Bacterial small subunit ribosomal RNA
Source: RNAcentral